UGGGGAAUAUUGGACAAUGGGGGAAACCCUGAUCCAGCAACGCCGCGUGAGUGAUGAAGGUCUUCGGAUUGUAAAGCUCUUUUGGCAGGGACGAUGAUGACGGUACCUGCAGAAUAAGCUCCGGCUAACUUCGUGCCAGCAGCCGCGGUAAUACGAAGGGAGCAAGCGUUGUUCGGAAUUACUGGGCGUAAAGAGCGCGUAGGCGGUUUGAUAAGUUGGGCGUGAAAUCCCCGGGCUUAACCUGGGAAUUGCGUUCAAAACUAUCAGACUAGAGUGUAGAAGAGGGUGGUGGAAUUUCCAGUGUAGAGGUGGAAUUCGUAGAUAUUGGAAAGAACACCAGUGGCGAAGGCGGCCACCUGGUCUACAACUGACGCUGAGGCGCGAAAGCGUGGGGAGCAAACAGG
RNAcentral lists this ribosomal RNA (404 nucleotides) under uncultured bacterium. Its description in RNAcentral is "bacterial SSU rRNA". It matches the Rfam family "Bacterial small subunit ribosomal RNA", at positions 355 to 776 of the family's 1533-position model. The record is from RNAcentral.